UACGUAGGGUGCAAGCGUUGUCCGAAAUUAUUGGGCGUAAAGAGCUCGUAGGCGGUUUGUCACGUCGGCCGUGAAAACUCGGGGCUCAACCCCGAGCCUGCGGUCGAUACGGGCAGACUAGAGUGCUGUAGGGGAGACUGGAAUUCCUGGUGUAGCGGUGAAAUGCGCAGAUAUCAGGAGGAACACCGAUGGCGAAGGCAGGUCUCUGGGCCACUACUGACGCUGAGAAGCGAAAGCAUGGGGAGCGAACAGG
This 253-nucleotide ribosomal RNA is filed under the name uncultured bacterium. Its description in RNAcentral is "partial 16S ribosomal RNA". It matches the Rfam family "Bacterial small subunit ribosomal RNA", at positions 524 to 776 of the family's 1533-position model. The record is from RNAcentral.